Molecule: long non-coding RNA, 229 nt
Organism: Melitaea cinxia (Glanville fritillary)
Lineage: Eukaryota; Metazoa; Arthropoda; Insecta; Lepidoptera; Nymphalidae
Exons: 2
Source: RefSeq, a predicted model, not a curated record
UUCUUUUGACGCAUCAGCUCGUCUACUAUCGACUGCAAGGUUUAUAAUAGUCACCCACACCAAGGUAUCUUUGCUAAUGAGAUAUUCAAAGGACAGCUCAAAGUUUUUGCUCGGCGCAUCGAGUAAGGAAUCAUCGCCGUUCGUCUGUGACCGAUCUACCUGUAAUACAAAUAUACAACAAUGUUCAAGGUCGUAAUUCAUUUCUAUAAAAUAUACAUUUUUGAAAUUA